UGAGGAAUAUUGGUCAAUGGACGGAAGUCUGAACCAGCCAAGUAGCGUGCAGGAUGACGGCCCUAUGGGUUGUAAACUGCUUUUGUAUGGGGAUAAAGUCAAUCACGUGUGAUUGUUUGCAGGUACCAUACGAAUAAGGACCGGCUAAUUCCGUGCCAGCAGCCGCGGUAAUACGGAAGGUUCGGGCGUUAUCCGGAUUUAUUGGGUUUAAAGGGAGCGUAGGCCGGAGAUUAAGUGUGUUGUGAAAUGUAGACGCUCAACGUCUGACUUGCAGCGCAUACUGGUUUCCUUGAGUACGCACAACGUUGGCGGAAUUCGUCGUGUAGCGGUGAAAUGCUUAGAUAUGACGAAGAACUCCGAUUGCGAAGGCAGCUGACGGGAGCGCAACUGACGCUGAAGCUCGAAGGUGCGGGUAUCGAACAGGAUUAGAUACCCUGGUAGUCCGCACAGUAAACGAUGGAUGCCCGCUGUUGGUACCUAGUAUCAGCGGCUAAGCGAAAGCAUUAAGCAUCCCACCUGGGGAGUACGCCGGCAACGGU
RNAcentral lists this ribosomal RNA (539 nucleotides) under uncultured bacterium. RNAcentral's name for it is "bacterial SSU rRNA". It matches the Rfam family "Bacterial small subunit ribosomal RNA", at positions 355 to 895 of the family's 1533-position model. The record is from RNAcentral.